This 1089-nucleotide ribosomal RNA is filed under the name Bacillus sp. (in: firmicutes). Its description in RNAcentral is "bacterial SSU rRNA". It matches the Rfam family "Bacterial small subunit ribosomal RNA", at positions 64 to 1134 of the family's 1533-position model. The record is from RNAcentral. Lineage: Bacteria; Bacillati; Bacillota; Bacilli; Caryophanales; Bacillaceae.
GAGCGGACCGACGGGAGCUUGCUCCCUUAGGUCAGCGGCGGACGGGUGAGUAACACGUGGGUAACCUGCCUGUAAGACUGGGAUAACUCCGGGAAACCGGGGCUAAUACCGGAUGCUUGAUUGAACCGCAUGGUUCAAUCAUAAAAGGUGGCUUUUAGCUACCACUUACAGAUGGACCCGCGGCGCAUUAGCUAGUUGGUGAGGUAACGGCUCACCAAGGCGACGAUGCGUAGCCGACCUGAGAGGGUGAUCGGCCACACUGGGACUGAGACACGGCCCAGACUCCUACGGGAGGCAGCAGUAGGGAAUCUUCCGCAAUGGACGAAAGUCUGACGGAGCAACGCCGCGUGAGUGAUGAAGGUUUUCGGAUCGUAAAACUCUGUUGUUAGGGAAGAACAAGUACCGUUCGAAUAGGGCGGUACCUUGACGGUACCUAACCAGAAAGCCACGGCUAACUACGUGCCAGCAGCCGCGGUAAUACGUAGGUGGCAAGCGUUGUCCGGAAUUAUUGGGCGUAAAGCGCGCGCAGGCGGUUUCUUAAGUCUGAUGUGAAAGCCCCCGGCUCAACCGGGGAGGGUCAUUGGAAACUGGGGAACUUGAGUGCAGAAGAGGAGAGUGGAAUUCCACGUGUAGCGGUGAAAUGCGUAGAGAUGUGGAGGAACACCAGUGGCGAAGGCGACUCUCUGGUCUGUAACUGACGCUGAGGCGCGAAAGCGUGGGGAGCGAACAGGAUUAGAUACCCUGGUAGUCCACGCCGUAAACGAUGAGUGCUAAGUGUUAGAGGGUUUCCGCCCUUUAGUGCUGCAGCAAACGCAUUAAGCACUCCGCCUGGGGAGUACGGUCGCAAGACUGAAACUCAAAGGAAUUGACGGGGGCCCGCACAAGCGGUGGAGCAUGUGGUUUAAUUCGAAGCAACGCGAAGAACCUUACCAGGUCUUGACAUCCUCUGACAACCCUAGAGAUAGGGCUUCCCCUUCGGGGGCAGAGUGACAGGUGGUGCAUGGUUGUCGUCAGCUCGUGUCGUGAGAUGUUUGGGUUAAGUCCCGCAACGAGCGCAACCCUUGAUCUUAGUUGCCAGCAUUCAGUUGG